Molecule: ribosomal RNA, 233 nt
Filed under: uncultured bacterium
Lineage: Bacteria
Description: partial 16S ribosomal RNA
Rfam family: Bacterial small subunit ribosomal RNA
Source: RNAcentral
CGGCGAACGGGUGAGUAACGCGUGGAUACCUGCCCUGAGGUGGGGGAUAACCCGGAGAAAUUCGGGCUAAUACCGCAUAUGACCGUGAGGUCAAAGGGGGGUCGCAAGAUCUCUCGCCAUAGGAGGAGUCCGCGUCCGAUUAGCUAGUUGGUAGGGUAAUGGCCUACCAAGGCGACGAUCGGUAGCCGGCCUGAGAGGGUGAUCGGCCACACUGGAACUGAGACACGGUCCAG